GCUGGAGAUGUAGUUCAGUGGUAGAGCACUUGCCUAGUGCAUGUACCAGAUCUUGGAUUCAAUUCCCAGCACCAGUG
Molecule: transfer RNA, 77 nt
Filed under: Marmota monax (woodchuck)
Lineage: Eukaryota; Metazoa; Chordata; Mammalia; Rodentia; Sciuridae
Description: tRNA.Leu
Source: RNAcentral